CAGUCGCCGCGGGAAUACAGAGGGUGCGAGCGUUAAUCGGAUUUACUGGGCGUAAAGCGUGCGUAGGCGGCUAAUUGAGUCGGAUGUGAAAUCCCCGAGCUUAACUUGGGAAUUGCAUUCGAUACUGGUUAGCUAGAGUGUGGGAGAGGAUGGUAGAAUUCCAUGUGUAGCGGUGAAAUGCGUAGAGAUCUGGAGGAAUACCGAUGGCGAAGGCAGCCAUCUGGCCUAACACUGACGCUGAGGUACGAAAGCAUGGGGAGCAAACAGGAUUAGAUACCCCAGUAGUCCCUGUCUCUUAUAU
This 301-nucleotide ribosomal RNA is filed under the name uncultured bacterium. Its description in RNAcentral is "partial 16S ribosomal RNA". It matches the Rfam family "Bacterial small subunit ribosomal RNA", at positions 509 to 809 of the family's 1533-position model. The record is from RNAcentral.